AUUGAGUAUAUUACUUGCUCAGUGGUUGCAAGUUGAUAUAGAUCGUGUCUAACGCAAACGCGUGUACGCAUUGUGUACGUUAUAAUAAGUUGUGGCUGCUGGUGUGUUUGCAAUUGUUUUAACGUCGUAAUGGAGCCGUGUAAUUUUUCUUACUAUACUGGCAAACAGGAACUAUUGUUAGUUGAAAUUACGAUAGUUUGCUUCAGCAUGACUGGAAAGUAGUAGUUACAAGAUGACAAAUUGGUGUUGAUUUAGACCACCUUCUUAAAUGUUCUGCUGAAAUUGCUGACCAUUUCCACAACAUUGAAGCGAACUUAAUUGAAAAUAGGACUGUUUGCUGUCUAGGCCAACAUGGUCUGAAAGUUAUUGGAUCGAAAGGUAGGCUGUUUGAAUACGUAUUUGGG
This is a long non-coding RNA of Agrilus planipennis (emerald ash borer), 404 nucleotides long. RefSeq lists it as uncharacterized. The transcript is spliced from 3 exons. Lineage: Eukaryota; Metazoa; Arthropoda; Insecta; Coleoptera; Buprestidae. The record is from RefSeq and is a predicted model, not a curated record.